CGCGUAGGCGGUUUGAUAAGUGGGAUGUGAAAGCCCUGGGCUCAACCUGGGAACUGCAUUCCAAACUGUCAGGCUAGAGUAUGGUAGAGGGAGGUAGAAUUUCCUGUGUAGCGGUGAAAUGCGUAGAUAUAGGAAGGAAUACCGGUGGCGAAGGCGGCCUCCUGGACCAAUACUGACGCUGAGGUGCGAAAGCGUGGGGAGCAAACA
This 207-nucleotide ribosomal RNA is filed under the name uncultured bacterium. Its description in RNAcentral is "partial 16S ribosomal RNA". It matches the Rfam family "Bacterial small subunit ribosomal RNA", at positions 568 to 774 of the family's 1533-position model. The record is from RNAcentral.